GGCGGCGCCGUUGAGCGGCGAGUGGACGGACCUGCGCGCCGUGGCGAAGGCGAGGGCCUUGAGCCAGGUGGUGCCGCUCUUGGGGAAGCUCGCCAGGAGGAUGUCGGCGGGCCGGCGCUCCACGAACAAGGCGUGGGCUCUCGGGAGGUUCAGCAGGAAGCCGGUGGGGACCCAGAACCCGCGGUACAGACGGACGGAAGGAAAAAUCGAGCACGGUGGCCCUCUUGGAAGAGACGCCACGAUCUCGGCGAAGUUCGCCGGGAAGACGUCGUCGUCGGUCACUGCCGGGGACUCGUCACCCUGCUUGCUCUCCAUUAGUGCUUCGUGUUCGUGUUUGCAUGUGCCUCCAUGCAUUUGCAAUGCAAGCCAUCGCCAUAUAUAUAAAAACAAAAUAGCCCAACAAUGAUGAUGCUCCGCUGCGCCAUCGUUGAUUGGCUCAAAAGCGAACAGGACAAGAAAGGGAAUAGCUGAAAACAACGGAUGAUGAACCGUCCUGAGCAGUGGUUGAAAUGUUGCAGAUGGAAACAAUGGAUGAACACGACGGGGAACAGCGAUUGCACAGUGAACAGUAACGACGAUCGGUCGUAGUCACGUGCAGUGGUGAGCAGCUGCAUUUGUGGAGAUGAAGGCCUUGUGUAGUUGCAAAUUUUUUUGCAAAAUAGAUAUCGUAACACUUUCGUUUGUAUUUAAUAAAUAUUAUCCAAUUCUGGAUUAACUAGCCUGAAAAUAUUUAUCUCGUAAAUUACAGGAAAAUUGUGCAAUUAGUUAUUUUUUAUCUAUAUUUAAUGCUCAAUGCAUGUGCUGCAAGAUUCUAUGUAACGAAAAAUUUUGAAAAUAUCCGUAAUUUUUUUGGGAAGUAAACAAGGCCGAAGUUGUUUUGGAAAUGUUUUUUUUUUAUUUUUCUUUUUCUUUUUCUUCUCUAUUUCAUUGUCCUUAUCCACUUGUAGGGAGAGCAAGCGGGCGACUUGGUUUUUUCAGCUCCCUAGGUCUCGUCCAACUCCAGGGAGCUUGGUAGGAGCGAAGUCAUUUGAUCCUGUUUGGUUGGUGGAAACCCGAAAUUGCACUUAGACUAUCUCCAAUAGAAAACCCAUUAGAGAAUCUAAAUUUAAAAUAGGUCUCCAACAUAAUACAACCUUCAAUAAAGUAACUAUAAGAAGACCUAUUUUUAGUAAGAGAAACAUAACUAAAAUUCGGAUAUCCUAUCUCUUCAAGACCUAUUUGCAGAAAGUGUUAUCUUUUAAGUCUUGUUGGUAGAGAAGACUAAAAAUAGGUAUUGAAUCUUUUGCCUAUAGCACUACCCAAAGGACGAAUAGAUCUUGUAUUUUGGGUGACGAUUGUUGAAGAUAGUCUAAGCGCUACCAAAUAGCUAGCCUAAAACAACUCCAACUAAGGAGGUUCUUAAAAUGUGCUUUUCACAAGGAUGGAUGGAUGGAGGUGAAACUAGUAGCUUCAUUCACCCAAUUAUAACGGGUGCACUCGGGAGUGACCCUGCGCUAGUGAAGGGUCGAGAUGGCGGACUAGAAGGGGGUGCGAAUAGUUUUUUCUAAAACUUGCGUGCCGGCUAAUCGAAAUAAAUGCGGAAUUAAAACUAUCGGUCUAGCCAAAACUACACCCCUCUAUCUAAGUUCUCUAGCACCUUGUAAAAGAUUCUAAACAAGCAAACAAAGUACCACCUUAGCAAGAGCUCACCUAACCAAUUCUAGAAGCAAGGUCAUACAAACCUAUGCCACUAGUACUUUGCAAACCGGAGGAGCUCCUACACAACUAGUAAGCAAAGGCACAAAGCUCCUAAAUUCACUAGCAAGCUCAAUAACAAGGCAAUUAAUGUCAAAUUAGAGAGCACAACUUAUUUAGCUAUACAAACUAAGCAAAGUGACUAGCAAUGUUACACAAACCAAAUUAGCCACGCAUGAGAACUACUUCUAGCUACACAAGCAAGAGGUAACUAGAAAGCUACACAAGCUAACUAAUUAUAAGAGUAACUACAUAAGCAUAAGUAUAAGAAUAUAAAAUACAAGUUUGUGUUAGGGACUUGUAAACCAAUGGAAAGAACAAUGUUGACAUGAUGAUUUUUUUCCCGAGGUUCACUUGGUUGCCACCAAGCUACGUCCCCGUUGAGACAAGCUCCAAGGUUGUUGUCGGUCCCCUUGCUAGUGGUGAUCUGCAAGUCACACUCUCUCACAUGGAGUGCUUACCACAAGCUCUAGCACUUGACCCGGCCGGACCACUUGUCGUCCUUCACGUCUCGCUCUACUAGAGUUGCUCUUCGCGAUCCCCACGGGGUGAGCAACAUACCCCUCACAAUCUCUUCUCUAGAGCACCGCACAAUCUCCUUGCAUGCUUCGACGGAGUCAUAAGCCACCAAGCCGUCUAGGAGGUGGCAACCUCUAAGACUAACAAUCACCACCGGCUUGCAACACGAACACCUAGUGCCACUCAAUGCAAUCUUGCAAUGCAACGUACUAGGAAUUACUCACUCGCUAGCUAUUGGUUUGCAAUCUAGCAAGCACAUGUGAGUUAGAGGGCUCUCAAGCAAGGACACAAAGUCCCCCAAGGUGCUUAGCCAUCGGCCAAAGCUGGCCACCACUUCUAUUUAUAGCCUCAAUGGCUAAACUAAUCGUUGCCCCUUAACUAGGCAAAACGUGUGGGUGUUGGAUGCUCCGACGCUAGGCGUCGGACGUGCCACCCAGUGUCCGACGCUCGCAAAGCUGCCACAUGUCACUAGCCGUGUGAACUCGACUGUUGCCGCUAAUGGCUAACUCGCAUGGGCACCACACCUAGUCACGUCGGAUGCUCCGAUGAUCCACACCGGAUGCAGACCCCCAGCACCGGGCGCUACUCAAAGAUGUCUACAAACUCGCAGGGCCGUUGGACGCGUCCGACGAAGGGUCAUCGGAUGCACCUUCAGCGUCUGAUGAGUUCUCAGACAAAACUCCACUGCUACAGUGUGAGUACUGGACGCUCUGACGCUAGAGCAUCGGACACUCCAAUGCACAAGUCAAGUUGCUCCUCACUACGCUGCAUACAUUGUACGUGGGUCUAGCUUCCAACACUAUCUGACCCAGCGUCUGACGGGUGUUUCUCGCUAAGAAACACUUGCGUGAAUUUUCAAAAACUUCCUCUGGUGCAAUGGAAAAUAAGCACUUCAUUUCCAUGAAAACGCCUGAAUCACGCCUCGCAAGCUCGGUGGGAUGGAGAGAGGAACCCAAACCCCUCUCUACCCUAAGAACUCCACCUCUUUUGUAAAUGUGCCAACACUACCAAGUGUACACCACCAUUGUGCAUGUGUGUUAACAUUUCAUAAAUAUUUUCCAAAGGAGUAAGCCUCUCAACUUGCCACGCCACUCAAUCCUAACACGUAUACAAAGUUAGAUCGCUCAAGUGGCACUAGACGACCGAUAUGCAAACAAGUUUGCCCCUCUUGAUAGUACGACAUCUAUCCUAAAUCUGGUCAUAAACUUCUAUACACACCUAUGACCGGUGAAAUAGAAAUGCCCUAUACCUCUGCCUUGCGCUUUCUAUUCCAUCUCCUCCAAUGUUGAUGCAACACAUGUGCCAACCAAUCACCAAAUGAUAUGAUCCACUUCAUAUCAUCACGUGACCGUAUUGGUUCAUUGAUCUUGAUCUCACUUACUCUUCUCCGUUGCCUUGGUCCAUCGGCGCUAAGUCUUGCUUAAGCUUCACCGUCACACGCGGUCCCUCGCUUCAAAGCCUCCGACUUUCCCUUCACACUUGCAACCGGUCCAUCAAGCCAAGCCUCGUCUUGAUCUUCUCUACCUUGGUCACAUGACUCCAUGUCAUGUCUCAUAUGCAAUGAGCUCCUUCAUCAUCACAUAAUCACCUGUGGACUAAUCUCAUGUGUAUCUCAUAUAAACACUAUUAGUCCACCUAAGUUGUCACUCAAUUAUCGAAACCAAACAAGGACCUUUCAGCUAGGAGUGAGCAACAUGGCCUUGUGGGAGCAAUGGAACAGAACCCUGAGAGGGCCUGGUGUCAUGUGGCUCUUUCUGUCUAUCAGGCUCCGCGCUCCUCACAAAUUCCAAAGGAAUAUUCUCGGUGUCAUUGGGAUGGAGAGCUAAGCCUGAGCAAGGCGCAUGACCACAUAGUGACCCUUGGUCGACUAUCAACUCCUAAGGUCAGGAAUCACUUAAGUCUAGCCGAGCCGCUGAAUGUGAGCGACUUGGGCGAGGACUUAUCCUCUUGGCUCAUUUUCUGAGCACUAGUCCUUCUCCUAGGGCAGGCAUUCUGAGGCCCAUCAAGUCAUUCAUUAAUGGGCCAAAGAGUGUGCAUAUGAGUGCACCCAAUGAGUGUAGCUCCCAAACCCUUGGUUGAUUAGGAGAAUCAAAUUGGGGUUAAUUAUAUUGUCACGACACUAAUCCGAAGGUUUGUGCUACCCCUAGUUUAAUACUCAACAUGUCUUUUAUAAGGAUGUCCUCACAAGAACCUAGUUCGUGGAUGGGUAACUCCGUGGUUAACUCACAUGUCUUCCCCACACGUAAGUAGAUCUGUUUAUAGCCUCUCCACUAUUGUAUUCUUUUUUUUUGAAACCUCUCAUUUGAGUACAACUGCUCCACUACUGUAUUCACUAGGAAGAGGAAGACCUUUUAGUCAAACUGCCAUGAACCUCUUCCUUGGACAACACCAAUGGCCACACCACAAACGCAGCAACCGAUACUUGAUUUUGGGCUUUUUUGUUCUCGUGGGCCUUUCUGCUUUGGCUUCAGUGUUCAGUUACGGGCCUUGGUACAACAUCUGGGCAAACAUGGUUGGUGACCAAACGUUGAUGGGAAUUUUUAGUUGAAAAGUAACGCUGUGUUGCAGCUUCGCUCUUUUUUUUUUCUUUUUUCUGAAAAUGCUGGCAGAAAAUGCCAGACAAAUAUUUUAAUAUAGAAGAGGUGCUUCGCUCCUUUUUUUCAUUUAGUAUAUAGUAUCUUUUUAUUUACUACUGAAUCCUAUACUUGGAUCUUUUUCUUCCUUUUCUACAUAGAUGUAAGCACUUGGAAAUCUAUCAUGAUUUAACUGCCACGUGUUAACACUAUCUAAAAAUCCUGCUUAGUGUCAGCGUGUUAUUGUCCAUUACCAAAGUUAACAUUAUCUAAAAAACCUACUUAGUGUCAACGUGUAUUGUCCAUUACCAAAAAGUAAACAAUAAAAUCAAUCCAGAAUAUUUUUUUAAAAAAAAUUGCUUCUUCAGUCCAAUUCGGCUUACAUAGGUGUGCAUUUUUAUCCAUUUGCCCUUUUGGUAAACACGAAAAGGAGCAACGUAUUGUUUACAGCUCCAGUACAAAUUAAGCAAAGCUUGUCCAUAACAGACGUUGCUACAGCUGAGUAGAGCCAAGUGUGAUAAAAAUAAACAUAUAUGUAAACUCAGCCAAAAUACUUUGCCAAGACUAUUUGUUCAUACAACACCCCUACACCAAACAAAGCACAAAAAACAAUCACAAAGGCGAUCCUUCUGUCUCUUUGUUCUAUGGUGAGAGCACUGAAUUUGUGAAUGUACAGAAUUGGCCUCCUCUUGGAAUUGGCCCUUCUAAAUCAUUAUUAGAAACAUUAUAUUGAUUGUACAGAGAAAGUGGAGGUUGUUAAGGUCUGAUGGGAUUGCACCUGUGGGAAGGUUGUUUGACAAGUCUAGCACUUGCAGAUUUUCCAGGCUGCAGAGCUGCACCGGAAUUUCUCCGGAGAAGCUGUUAGAGCUGCGAUUGAGUAUACUGAGCAAUUUCAACUGACUAAUUUCUUUAGGGAUCGCUCUAGCCAAGAUUCAGCAUAUUUGGAAAGCCACUGAUUAUCCAGUACUCAAAUGAUAUACCUCUGUAAACAAGUAGCACAAACGUACUUCGAUCCAAAUGGGUUGCAGUAUUUUCUGUAGUUAGCAUAGGCAUCUCCAUUAGCACUGUCGGUAUUUCCCCUGUAAGUUUGUUAUAUGAUAGGUCUAGAUGGAAAAGUGACUGUAAGCUGUUUAUCCAGGCAGGUGUAUUGGUCCACUGAGUUGGUUACCUUGCAGAAACAACACAUUCAGAUUCUUCAGCUUUGAUAGCCAAGGCGGUUAUCGUUUCUGUUGCUUGUUGCUGGUGCUGCUUAUGUUUCUGUUGCUAGUAGCUCCUGGCUGGCUGCUGCUGCUGCACGUACGUUUUCUCUUGAUGAAGCCAUGGCAGAAAGUACCGUUGUCUGAUUUGUUGUGAGAAAAAACACUGUUGAAUGGCUGACAGAUUCGACUGAUAAGCUCAAGCGAACAAACAGCAGUCAAGAUAGAAAUGACUCCCUUUUUAAAACGGUAAAAAAUGAAGCUAAAAGGUUAUGUCGCUGUAGCUGUAUUUGAAGGGCAUGUUGCCCGUCGUGCAAGGAAAGCACGGUCGAUGUGUACGGGUCUGAAUUCUCUGCUGAAAUCUCUAGUUGUCGCAUGCGUCAGUCGGUACUAAACCCGGCUGCCAAUUCCCUGAAAGACACAGGCAGUUUUUUUUUACAAGCAAAAGACAGGGCAGUUUUUUUUUUGACAAGUGACAGGGCAGUUGAUCCACCAAGAAUUUGCAGCUCUCUCUUGUCUCCUCAGCCUUGUGAGUUGUGAUGAGUUGUGAUACUUCAGUCUGAAUCUCAAGUCAGAAAGAGUGGUCUGCUAAUGCAACUGUCUCCUCAGCCUUGUGGGUUGUGAUGGAGUUGUGAUACUUCAGUCUGAAUCUCAAGCCAGAAAGAGUGGUCUGCUAAUGCAAUGGUGCUUGACAUGUUGGAGUGAGACAUCUUUUGCAGCAGUGAAGUAAUUGUUGUUUCCUCCUUUUGCAGCAGUGAAGUAAUUAAUUUUUCCAAAUUACACUCAUGUCCUCAGUGUCUCAUAUGUGGCCUUGAGUUAUGACCCAUGAUCACACAAGUUAAAAUAACUCGAGUCUAAUGAUGAUCGAUUCAGAGUGCGAUUCCAAGAGGUAUUACGCCACGCCCUCCAUAUAUCAUACGUGAUCUGGACUCACGACCCAUGCUCAUACUACGAGCUAGAGCAACUCGCAUCUAGCAAUGAUAUGAAGUUUUGGUUUCCAUACGUAUUGGACUUUGUUGUAACAUACUAGCACGUUUGCUAGUACUUUAUAAAUCACAUACUAGUAGGUUUCCCUCUUGGUUUGUCGGUUCGUAGGCAAUGAAGGAUGCAUGUUCAAUUUUGACAAACACGUGUGAAUGGUUAAAGGAAGCUUGAUUCACAAAUUACUGCAACACCAUAUACUGUUUUUUCAUCUAAAAAGAAAUAUAACAACAUACAGCAAUCUAACUAAUGACCGGCAAUUUUGUCGAUAAAAGAAGUUUUAUUAUAAUUCAAGUUUAUUACAUCGAGUUGAUAUAAAGAUCUUAAAACACUCCUAUCUCCAUUGUCAACAGUAGAGCGGAGACUGCGGAGCCGUGCCAAACGUGCCCUAAUUAUUUGUAUUGGUGUACCCAAAGGUAAAUCCCGAUCCCUUGAGUGCCUCCUCGACGAUGCCAUCCAGCCUCGCUGCCAUCUCCGGCGACAUGUGGUUCCUCCAGUCCCCCAUGAUCCCCUUCCUGAAGAAAUGCUUGUUGUCCACGACUUGUGUCACCAAGCCCUCCCGAGCGUUGACGUAGGCGUAAGCUCCGGUCUUGUUCACCGCCAGGCUCCGCUGCUUGUCCAGGCUGCACAGUUCAAGGAUGGCGCGCACGACGCCGGCGUCCUCCUCCGCCGCCGAGAACGGGCACCCCAUGAACUCCGCCAUCUUCUUCAGGUUGCCCACCGGGUCCUGCAGCAUCUCCUCGUACCUGAGGAACAGCACGCUCCCUGGCGUCCUCUUGCUCGCCUCCCAGUACUCGCGGACGUGCUCCCACUGCGGGCCCAGCCCGCAGUGGCCUUGGCAGUAGAGCUCGAACACCUCCUCGAAGGUGGCUCCUGCCGCCGCCGCUGUCGGGCGCUCGCCGCGUUCUACGGCCGCGCUCGACGUCCGCAAGCUCACAUCGAAAUGCCACGUGGAGACCAGCGUGUCCUUGGGGUCUCUGGCGAUGUACACGAUCCGGCACCCGCCGCCGUCCGCCGUCGCUCGUCUCGGGAGCAGGGAGUAGGGCAUGUGCGUGCCGAGGAGACGCGGCGCCGCCGCCGCCGCCGUCGUGCCGCCGUCGUCAUCGCUUUCUACGGAUGACGACCAACGUAGAGUGUCGAGGAACGCGACGCACUCGUGGGAGUUGGUGGAGAGGAGAGGGUGGGCGGCGUCGAGCGGCGAGUGGACGGACCGGCGCGCCGUGGCGAAGGCGAGGGCCUUGAGCCAGGUGGUGCCGCUCUUGGGGAAGCUCGCCAGGAGGAUGUCGGCGGGCCGGCGCUCCUCGAACAAGGCGUGGGCUCUCGGGAGGUUCAGCAGGAAGCCGGUGGGGACCCAGAACCCGCGGUACAGACGGACGUUAGGAAAAAUCGAGCACGGUGGCCCUCUGGGAAGAGACGCCACGAUCUCGGCGAAGUUCGCCGGGAAGACGUCGUCGUGGGGCAGUGCCGGGGACUCG
This 8478-nucleotide long non-coding RNA is filed under the name Sorghum bicolor (sorghum). Its description in RNAcentral is "long non-coding RNA (SBIC_LNC005947)". The record is from RNAcentral. Lineage: Eukaryota; Viridiplantae; Streptophyta; Magnoliopsida; Poales; Poaceae.